CGACUUCUAGCCAUGUAUGAAGGCGCGGCAUACGGCUCAGUAACACGUGGUUAAUCUACCCUUGAGACUGAAACAACCCCGGGAAACUGGAGCUAAUGCUGGAUAGAUGAAAAUUCCUGGAACGGUUUUUCGUCCAAAGGCAUCAAAAUCAUGCUUCUUGGUGUUGCUAAGGGAUGGAGCCCGUCCCAACAGGUUGGUGGGGGAGGAACCGCCUCACCAAACCAUUACCCGGACCGGGCCUGGGAAGGGGAAGCCGGAAAAGGAAACUGGAAAAAGGGUCCCGGGCUUUACGGGGCCAACACGUUGCAAAACCUUGUCAUGGCAGAAAGUUGGGAGGGGUUACCCCGAAUGGCUGUCCGUUAAGAUUGGUUUUUCUCUGUUUAAAGAGGGGGGGGAAAUAAGGGGGGGGGA
Molecule: ribosomal RNA, 411 nt
Filed under: uncultured crenarchaeote
Lineage: Archaea; Thermoproteati; Thermoproteota
Description: partial 16S ribosomal RNA
Rfam family: Archaeal small subunit ribosomal RNA
Source: RNAcentral